Girardinichthys multiradiatus is the source of this 1562-nucleotide long non-coding RNA. RefSeq lists it as uncharacterized. NCBI's taxonomy places the organism in Eukaryota, Metazoa, Chordata, Actinopteri, Cyprinodontiformes, Goodeidae. The record is from RefSeq and is a predicted model, not a curated record. The transcript has 7 exons.
GGAAGACAUGAGAUAUUGCUGACUGUUGGAUGGACCACGGUUCUUGUUCCGCCCAUAUCGAGGAUGCAUUGAUGCAUUAUAAUUGUGCUUUAUAAUUUGUACUCGGGUAAGCUAGGUUUCCAUAAUGCACUCACCAGCAUCGGUCAAUGGAGAAGACCGGCCGAAAACUUUCACCCUUCCAGAUACUCCUCCUGACUCGAAUGCACCUGAGGCCGAAUCUUCCCAUCCAGCAUAUGGCACACCUGUUCUGCAUCGACCAAUCAACUGUGUCCACCACGUUCACAAAUACCAUAGAUGUCAUGUUUACACACCUUGCUGUGGGAUAACAUGCCACUGAGCAUGGUGAGCCAUGUGAAGGCCAGUUGUAAAGUUAUUGUGCUGUUUCCUCUGUCCCACUGGCUGCUGCAAACACAGAACACCACAAUGCUUUAAUGAGAACUGCCUUGUACCUUUUGGCCUCUGGCUUCCAGAAGAUUCUCAACAAUUUUCCUUGACCUCACAGCUGACAGAGGGAGGUUGCCUGUUCUUUCCAUCAAAGCAACUGGACAUACUAACAGGACAUUCUCACAUGUGGGCAUGGAAACAGUUGUGCUCACCAUCACCAGCCUCCCAUGGAACAGUAAAUACAUAUGUAAGCGUACCUCCCAAGUUCUUCCCUGGAUCUUCUCUCUGAGAUGCUUCUGUGAUACACGACUCAAACCUACUCGCGCCAUAGCCUUGUGGAUUCAAAUCACAAUGGCUGGCAACCUCAAGGCUUCUCUUUGCUCAUAACCUCCAGCAUACCUGUCCGCCCUCCAAAGCUUGGAAAUGAGGAACGGUGGGGCAAUUGGCAGAACUGUUGCCUUGGGCAAGAAGGUCCUGGGUUCGACUCCUGGCUGGGGAUCUUUCUGUAUGGAGUUUGCAUGUUCUCCCCAUGUAUGAAUGGGUGUGUGCAGGUUGUACCCUGCCUCUCGCUGAUGGACUGGUGACCUGUCCAGGGUGUACCCUGCCUAUCGCCUGUAGAUCAUUGAUUAGCACCAAUUCCCCUGUGACCCUGUCUGGAAGAAGUGGGUAUAGAAAAUGGAUGGAUGGAUGGAUGGAAUUGAGAAAUGUAUUGACCAAGAAGCCACCCCUGCCCUUUGUCAGCUUAUGGAAACCAGUUUCCCAGUUCACACUCUGUUAUUGGAUUCCAGUGUUCUGCCUCAACGCGCUCAGUUCAUCGAACAACUUACCUUAAAACUCCCUCUGUAAAUCUCCUCACCACUUCUCUGGAUGCUCCUCUGGCUGCUUCCCUGGUUCAUUGUGUCAGGACCCUUCCACAACCAUCCACUCACCUGCCUGUCCACCCCCUGAUGAUGCACUGCCUCUCAUGAGCAACAAGGAAAUCAUUACAAGCACCACUCACCACCACCUGGCAAUCUCAACCUCUGUACUAACUUUCCUCCCUUGGAAUUCCACCAUCUCUCCAUCAGUAAGCUAACCAUCUCACCCAUCAUUUCCAUCAUAUAUUAACCAUAUUCCACUUUUUAUAAUAAUAACUUACCUCUCCUCCUCAAUGCCAUCCUGGAUUUCUCCUUUGAACC